UUAAAACUCUUUUUUAUUUAGAGCUCUUAUAAUUUGAAUCCUAUAAAUAUAAACCCAUAAUCAACCAAAAAAAAAAACACGAUUUGGCAGAAAAUAUAUGCAGCAAAAAAAGAGAAAGAGAGAAAGUACGCGCACAAGACCCCUUUUUUUUAGAAAAAAUUUCUGGUAGAAAAUAAAUUUUUAGGGAUUCAGAAUUGAGGAAAUUAGAAUUGGUGUGGCUAGAAAUUUUUAGAAGAUUGAGAAAGAGAUUUGGAAAAAAAUUGAUAAAUUUAGUUUUUUUGUUUUUUCGUUUCUGGGUUUCUUGAACUUUCUGAUGACCAAGUUUGAGUUUUCCACCAACAUUUGGCUAGAAUCCACAUUUUUUCAUCAUAAUCUAGGUUUUGUCGGGGUUUUCGGCUGGUGUUCAGAGAAUUUUAAAGCUAGAGAGAGAGAUAGAGUAAAGAAAGGAAAGAGAGAGUGUGGGUAGGAAAAACAUGAGAAAAAGAAGAAAAUUGGGCUUUAUUGUUUAAGAAAACGACGUCAUUUUGAUCAUUUAAAAAUCCUUGAAGAUCCGCACAUCAACCCUCGAGAGCCAUGCACCAACCCGACCCGCAACGCACGACUCGCUUACAUCUCUUAGCUUCAGCUGAGCCGAGUCUGAGCUUUGAACCGUGAAUCGUAAGCCGUGUUGUUCUUUUUUGCCUUGAGCCGUUAUUCUUCAGCUGCCUAAGCCAAGCUAUUUUCUUGGUACUUUUUUUGUUUUUCUCAUUUAUUUUAUUUUAUUUAUGUUUAAUUAAUUAUUUAUUUGAUUAGUUGUUUUCGAUCUAUUUUUUAUUAUUUUAUUUAUUGGUUCUUUAUUUAUUUGUUAUUCAUUUAUCUAUAAAUAUAUUUUUUAAAAAAAAUUUAAAUAAAAUAAAAAGAAUCUCACCUUAUUUAUUGGUUUUUUAUUUAUUUGUUAUUCAUUUAUCUAUAAAUAUUUUUUUUAAAAAAAUUUUUAAAUAAAAUAAAAAGAAUCUUAUCAACACAUUGGAGGAUUCAAAUUGUUAAAAAAAUAUUUUUUUCAAAUAACAAUGAAUCUUAUCAACAUAUUGAAAGAUUUAAAUUUUUAAUAAAUUUUUAAUAAAUUUUUAAUAAAUUAUUUUAAUAAAAUAAAAAGCCUUAUCAAUAUAUUGGAAGCCAAUUUAAUUUUUAAAAUAAGAUUUUACCAACAUAUUGGAGAAUCUUAUUAAUUUUUUUAUAAAAAAUAAAUUUCAAGAAAAAAAUAGUUUUUAAUAAAGCCUUACCAACAUAUUGAAAAUUUUUAUGAUUUUUAAAUAAAAAUUAAUUUUUAGAAAAGAAAUAAUUUCUAUAAAAUCUUAUUAACAUAUUAGAGGAUAAUUUCUAGCAGAAAAUCUUACCAAUAUAUUGAAGAAUAUUUUCUGAAAAUAAAAAGCAUUUUUACAAAGUUAGAUUUUGAAUUUUUUAUGAUGUAAUAACAAUCUCUAUGUAAAUUUUUAUGUGAGAAAUUUUUUUAAAAUUUUACUAACAUAUUAGAAAAUUUAAAAAAGAUUUUCAAUAUCAAGGUUAUCACAAAAAUGUCAAUUAUCACAAGUAAAAGUUUUUUACAAAAAUUAAAUGAAUUUGACGAUGAAAUCUCUUCAAAACAUAACAAAUCAUUUUCUUAAAUACUUAUGAGGUGAGGGGAUGUUUUUGAAUUAUUACCAAUAUAUUAGAGUAAUUUAUGAAUAAUUUCCAAUAUUGAAUUACUUGAAAGUUUUUUUAGGCUUUCCGAUAACAUAAAAUCAAGCUAGUACCAUCCUAUAGGUGGGCGAUGUGAAAAUAUUAUAAUCUUUUUUACACAUAACCGUACUCUCGAACUUAAUUUUGGUUUUGUAAACAUAAAUCUAAUAAGUAGUCAAUCACAUCUAAAUAAAAAACAUAAGUGAUGAUUUCUCUCGUUAAGUCUAGUUAUAGGUCUAUAAAUUUAUACGUUAUGACAAAAACAUAUUUUUAAUACCAUCCUACUUCCAUGCUAUCAAAAGAAGAUGCUUAGGCCUCGUUUAAUAUUAGUGAUGAUUUCUCUCGUUAAGUCUAGUUAUAGGUCUAUAAAUUUAUACGUUAUGACAAAAACAUAUUUUUAAUACCAACUUACUUCCAUGCUAUCGAAAGAAGACGCUUAGGCCUCGUUUAGUAUUGCUUUUGGGAUUUCAAAACGCAGUUUUUAAUGCAAAAACAAAGUUAAACACGAUAUAAUUUGAGUUAAAAACACAUUUUCAAUCGUUAAAAGUGUGUCAAUCGUAAAAGGUAAUUGGGAGAUAUAGUUGUAAUUUGAAAUUUAUAGUUUAGAAACAAAAUGAUUAAAUACCCACUCAAGUAUUUAUUUUUAACAAAAUAGCAAUUUUUUUUCUUUCCGACAUUAUGUCCUUUUUAGAUAUUUUAAUUUUGCACAACAAUACUAAUCACUCAAAAAUCCUAAACUAUAAAUUUUCAUAGCACCUUUCAAAUGCAUUUUUUUCCUAACCAAGUUUUUUCAAAUCACAUUAGCAAUAUUAAACUAAGCCUUAAGCGGUUAAUCAAAGCUACAGACUUUAUUUAAAGAUCUUGGGUCCAAAAUUUGGGAUAAACGGGAUGAGAUUUAUGAGAAGAUAAGGUAUUAUAUCUUUUAUUAUGUAGUGGGGAAUCAAAUUUACUCUAAAAAUUCAUAUUUUUAUGUUUCACCUUUCUAAAUUACUAAUGGUUAAAUUUUAAAAUUUUUUCUUCAACAUCUUAAGUUCAAAUCAUACAAUAAAAUUUAUGAAAUGAAAAAAAAUUAUCUCCUUUUAUAUAAGGUAAAGUCAAAUAAGCUUUUAUUGUAAAAAAUCCCAAGUCAAGAAAAAAUUCUUUCAAAUUGAGGGAAUUUAAUUUAUUAAGAUAAUUAUUAUAAAAAAUUUGUAAGUGACUGCAUGUGAAGCAUAGAGAAUAAAUGAAUAAUUAGAGUAGCAUUUAUAAUACAAUAAAAACAAAAAAAGAUUAAAACAAUAAUAAAAUGUAAUUGUAUAAAUCAAUAAUUUGCAUUUUUUUUAUCUAAAAUUAUGAAAAAUCUUCAAAAAAUCACUUCCUUUCUUUUAUGAUCUUGAGAUAAAUCAUUAGUCAUUUUUUGGAUGGAAAAAUGAUUAAUCAAAUAAUGUAAUAACUCAUAACUAAACCAUUUUAGGCCUUUAAUUUUAUAUUAAAGAGUCACUUUCUUUAGUUGACUGUUCUGCAUUAAUUAAAUUAAGCUAUCAUUUUCAUGUAUUUUAUAUUAAUUUGUUAAACCUAACAUAAAUAAAUUUGAUAACAAUGACUUACAGAAAAUAUAUGGAACAAAACCUAAUAAUCUCAUACUUCUAAAACAUAUAUCAUCACUGUUGGGCUGAAAGCCUCCAAUCCAAUCACACCAGCGGAAGUAAAAUCAAACAAUAAAUCAAACACACAAGAGACAACAAUUUAACGUGGUUCGGUCCAACUGAUCUACAUCCACGGAUGAGAAACAAGAUCCACUAGUUGUAGAGAAUUACAAACAUACAUCAAAUCAUCAAACUCACUCAACAAUCAAUACUCAUAAGACACUCUCAAUCUCCUCUAGUCCUAUGGAGUAUUCUCAACCUAAACAAACACAAACCCAAACUCUUGUGCACCCUUUCAACACAACCAAACACAUACCCAUAUGUUCCCAUACAUCAUAUCUAUGUGGACCCUCUCAAUCUCCUCUAGUCCACUCACAAACAAACAUACACACCCAUAAGACGUAGAGCCCCAAUACUCCUAUGGGGUGUCUAUCCCACAAAACCCUACAACUCUUUUACAUCUUUUUCUCAUACCUAACCCUGUAGAGACUUCACCUAUUUAUAACCAUACAAACUUGCCCAUUAAGAAUCUCUCUCCUCUUAAAAUUCUUCUCUUGUAAGUCAAACUUGCCUAUUAAGAAUCUUUUUCCUUUUAGAAUUCUUCUCUUGCAAGUCAAACUUACCUAUUAAGAAUCUUCUUUCUUUUAGAAUUCUUCUUUUGCAAGUCUUCUUGUCCAUUAAGCAAUAUCUGACAAAUCUCAAACAAAUCCCAAACAAAUCUCUUAUGGGAUUUGAGUCAAUAUUCCCAACAAUCUCCAUCUUGACUCAAAUUCCAUUAAUCAUCUAUCUUCAUGCUAGACAUACUUGGCUCCACCUGCAAUAAAAGUCUCACAAUCAUCUUCUCUUGUGUCUUCACGCUUCAUACAAACCAAUCCUCAAUCUUUAAAACUCGAACUCUUCUCUUGAAUUGAGCUCCUCUAAGCUUAUUUCUUCCUAUGUCUUAAACCAAGCUCUUCCCAUAUCUCGAACUGUCAACUAUUCUCAUGUCUCGAACCAUCGGUUCUUUUCACAUCUUGAAUCUUUAACUCUUCUCACAUUUCGAACCUUCAACUCUGAUACCACUUGUUGGGGAUCACCACAGCUCUGAUACUAUUUAUUGGGCUAAAAGCCUCCAAUCCAAUCACACCAGCGAAAGCAAAAUCAAACAAUAAAUCAAACACACAAGAGAUAACAAUUUAACGUGGUUCGGUCCAACUGACCUACAUCCACGGAUGAGAAACAAGAUCCACUAGUUGUAGAGAAUUACAAACAUACAUCAAAUCAUCAACCUCACUCAACAAUCAAUACUCAUAAGACACUCUCAAUCUCCUCUAGUCCUAUGGAGUAUUCUCAACCCAAACAAACACAAACCCAAACUCUUGUGCACCCUUUCAACACAACCAAACACAUACUCAUAUGUUCCCAUACAUCAUACCUAUGUGGACCCUCUCAAUCUCCUCUAGUCCACUCACAAACAAAUAUACACACCCAUAAGGCGUAGAGCCCCAAUACUCCUAUGGGGUGUCUAUCCCAUAAAACCCUACAACUCUCUUACAUCUUUUUCUCAUACCUAACCCUGUAGAGACUUCACCUAUUUAUAACCAUACAAACUUACCCAUUAAGAAUCCCUUUCCUCUUAGAAUUCUUCUCCUGUAAGUCAAACUUGCCUAUUAAGAAUCUUUUUCCUUUUAGAAUUCUUCUCUUACAAGUCAAACUUACCUAUUAAGAAUCCGUUUUCUUUUAGAAUUCUUCUUUUGCAAGUCUUCUUGUCCAUUAAGCAACAUCUGACAAAUCUCAAACAAAUUCUAAACAAAUCUCUCAUGGGAUUUGAGUCAAUAUUCCCAACAAUCACAUGAUAGCUUGUCCUUGAUAUUUUUCAUGAUUUUUUUCUUUAAGACUUCUAUAAUUUGAAAAUGCUCAUUUUUUUAUACGAAGAAAUAUGAGUAGGAUAACAUCUGACUGUAGAUCAUGGUGGUGUCUUUUGUUGGUGUAGUUGAUUCUAUCAUUGACUAAUCAUUAUUUGUUAUCUAUCUUUGAAUCCCUAACUAUAAUUUUUCGUACUUUCUAUGUUUAGUUUCUUAUAUUUUAUCUCAAAACUUAAGUGCGGUAGGCUUUUCAUAGUUAGUUAUAUUUUGGAUUCUUGUUUUGUGUAUCUUGAUUGCUCUUGGUUAUCCGUGAGAUUCGGUAACAUUUUUUUUUUUUUUAUUUAUAUUUAGGUGAUCUUUGAUAUUCAAAUAGGUUUGUAUUGGAACUUGGGAUUUUAUCAUUGUUAAUCUUGAUUAGCUUUGUAACUUUAUGAUUGCUUUAAUAAAAUUUAACUUAAGAAAAAAAAAAAAAAAAAGAGUAGCAAUAGUAAUUGCUCCAUUUUCAUUAUCCACUUUUCAUUUAAUAUAAAGAUUAAAAAAAA
RNAcentral lists this long non-coding RNA (5709 nucleotides) under Durio zibethinus. RNAcentral's name for it is "long non-coding RNA (DZIB_LNC002409)". The record is from RNAcentral. Lineage: Eukaryota; Viridiplantae; Streptophyta; Magnoliopsida; Malvales; Malvaceae.